Molecule: non-coding RNA, 27 nt
Filed under: Bombyx mori (domestic silkworm)
Lineage: Eukaryota; Metazoa; Arthropoda; Insecta; Lepidoptera; Bombycidae
Source: RNAcentral
UCAGUUAUUUUCAGAGGCUGUCCGUUG